RNAcentral lists this ribosomal RNA (253 nucleotides) under uncultured bacterium. RNAcentral's name for it is "partial 16S ribosomal RNA". It matches the Rfam family "Bacterial small subunit ribosomal RNA", at positions 524 to 776 of the family's 1533-position model. The record is from RNAcentral.
UACGUAGGGAGCAAGCGUUGUUCGGAUUUACUGGGCGUAAAGGGCGCGUAGGCGGCCUGUCAAGUCAAUUGUGAAAUCUCCGGGCUUAACUCGGAACGGUCAAUUGAUACUGUCAGGCUAGAGUGCAGAAAGGGCAAUCGGAAUUCUUGGUGUAGCGGUGAAAUGCGUAGAUAUCAAGGGGAACACCUGAGGCGAAGGCGGGUUGCUAGGCUGACACUGACGCUGAGGCGCGAAAGCCAGGGGAGCAAACGGG